RNAcentral lists this unclassified non-coding RNA (239 nucleotides) under Bulbithecium spinosum. Its description in RNAcentral is "Acremonium spinosum partial internal transcribed spacer region". The stretch from base 1 to 46 matches the Rfam family "Eukaryotic small subunit ribosomal RNA", at positions 1786 to 1831 of the family's 1831-position model. RNAcentral also lists the same sequence under 2 other names. Lineage: Eukaryota; Fungi; Ascomycota; Sordariomycetes; Hypocreales; Bionectriaceae. The record is from RNAcentral.
AAGUCGUAACAAGGUCUCCGUUGGUGAACCAGCGGAGGGAUCAUUACUGAGUGUAAAAACUCCCAAACCCCUGUGAACAUACCAUCCGUUGCUUCGGCGGGAUCGCCCCGGGCGCCUUUGCGUGCCCCGGAUCCAGGCGCCCGCCGGAGGACUCCAAACUCUUGUUUUAUAUGUGGCAUUAUCUGAGUGGCUUAUAGCAAAAUAAAUCAAAACUUUCAACAAUGGAUCUCUUGGCUCUG